UCCAGAAGUCUGUGAGGAAGGGAUCUUGGAGUUUGGACUUCCCUGACUUCUGAAGACUUUUGAUGGGAUUAAAUUCAGCUGGGUGGUACUGGAUAUGUCCUGAGGCCAAAACCUCAUGGAAAGCUAGAGCAAUAUGUGGAGUCUUUGUAGCUCUGUCCAGGUUGCCGGCUCGGUGCUGUGAACCUUAGAAAUUCUCAGAACCUACUUCAUAAGAAACAUUUAUUGUGAUCAUAAUGGAAAGCCAACCAAACAGACCCAUCUAUGAACUGGCAUAGGUUGAUCUCCCUGCAGGCUGUGGAGUAUUUGCAAGGUGAAAGAGAAUGCAGAUGGCCAGGCCUUGUGCAUUUUAAAAGUUCAGAAGCUCUAGCCACUUACAGAAAGUCUGGGGCCUGGGGUCCAGGCUGGGCUAUGCUUAAAAGCAAAAAAAGAGAGAGAGAGAGAGAGAGAGAGAGAGAGAGAGAGAGAGAGAGAGAGAGAGAGAGAGAGAGAGAGAGAGAGAGUCUUCCAUUGUUCAGUGAGAGAUUUGUAAGUAAAUUUGGUGGAUCAAAUCCAAGUUAA
This 558-nucleotide long non-coding RNA is filed under the name Monodelphis domestica (gray short-tailed opossum). RNAcentral's name for it is "lncRNA (ENSMODG00000050041.1)". Lineage: Eukaryota; Metazoa; Chordata; Mammalia; Didelphimorphia; Didelphidae. The record is from RNAcentral.